RNAcentral lists this ribosomal RNA (497 nucleotides) under uncultured bacterium. RNAcentral's name for it is "partial 16S ribosomal RNA". It matches the Rfam family "Bacterial small subunit ribosomal RNA", at positions 28 to 507 of the family's 1533-position model. The record is from RNAcentral.
GACGAACGCUGGCGGCGUGCCUAAUACAUGCAAGUUGAGCGAUGAAGCUUGGUGCUUGCACCAAUUUGAAGAGCAGCGAACGGGUGAGUAACGCGUGGGGAAUCUGCCUUUGAGCGGGGGACAACAUUUGGAAACGAAUGCUAAUAUCGCAUAACAACUUUAAACAUAAGUUUUAAGUUUGAAAGAUGCAAUUGCAUCACUCAAAGAUGAUCCCGCGUUGUAUUAGCUAGUUGGUGAGGUAAAGGCUCACCAAGGCGAUGAUACAUAGCCGACCUGAGAGGGUGAUCGGCCACAUUGGGACUGAGACACGGCCCAAACUCCUACAGGAGGCAGCAGUAGGGAAUCUUCGGCAAUGGGCGAAAGUCUGACCGAGCAACGCCGCGUGAGUGAAGAAGGUUUUCGGAUCGUAAAACUCUGUUGGUAGAGAAGAACGUUGGUGAGAGUGGAAAGCUCAUCAAGUGACGGUAACUACCCAGAAAGGGACGGCUAACUACGUG